CCAGACUCCUACGGGAGGCAGCAGUGGGGGAUAUUGCACAAUGGGGGAAACCCUGAUGCAGCGACGCCGCGUGAGUGAAGAAGUAUUUCGGUAUGUAAAGCUCUAUCAGCAGGGAAGAAAAUGACGGUACCUGACUAAGAAGCCCCGGCUAACUACGUGCCAGCAGCCGCGGUAAUACGUAGGGGGCAAGCGUUAUCCGGAUUUACUGGGUGUAAAGGGGGCGCAGACGGCAGCGCAAGCCAGGAGUGAAAGCCCGGGGCCCAACCCCGGGACUGCUCUUGAAACUGCGCGGCUAGAGUGCAGGAGGGGCAGGCGGAAUUCCUGGUGUAGCGGUGAAAUGCGUAGAUAUCAGGAGGAACACCGACGGCGAAGGCGGCCUGCUGGACCGCGACUGACGUUGAGGCUCGAAAGCGUGGGGAGCAAACAGGAUUAGAUACCCCCGUA
This 444-nucleotide ribosomal RNA is filed under the name uncultured bacterium. RNAcentral describes it as "bacterial SSU rRNA". It matches the Rfam family "Bacterial small subunit ribosomal RNA", at positions 331 to 792 of the family's 1533-position model. The record is from RNAcentral.